This 164-nucleotide ribosomal RNA is filed under the name Artemisia norvegica subsp. saxatilis. Its description in RNAcentral is "5.8S ribosomal RNA". It matches the Rfam family "5.8S ribosomal RNA". Rfam says of the family: 5.8S ribosomal RNA (5.8S rRNA) is a component of the large subunit of the eukaryotic ribosome. It is transcribed by RNA polymerase I as part of the 45S precursor that also contains 18S and 28S rRNA. Functionally, it is thought that 5.8S rRNA may be involved in ribosome translocation. The record is from RNAcentral. Lineage: Eukaryota; Viridiplantae; Streptophyta; Magnoliopsida; Asterales; Asteraceae.
CAAACGACUCUCGGCAACGGAUAUCUCGGCUCAUGCAUCGAUGAAGAACGUAGCAAAAUGCGAUACUUGGUGUGAAUUGCAGAAUCCCGUGAACCAUCGAGUUUUUGAACGCAAGUUGCGCCCGAAGCCUUUUGGCCGAGGGCACGUCUGCCUGGGCGUCACGC